GAUGAACGCUGGCGGCGUGCCUAAUACAUGCAAGUCGAGCGAACGGACGAGAAGCUUGCUUCUCUGAUGUUAGCGGCGGACGGGUGAGUAACACGUGGAUAACCUACCUAUAAGACUGGGAUAACUUCGGGAAACCGGAGCUAAUACCGGAUAAUAUUUUGAACCGCAUGGUUCAAAAGUGAAAGACGGUCUUGCUGUCACUUAUAGAUGGAUCCGCGCUGCAUUAGCUAGUUGGUAAGGUAACGGCUUACCAAGGCAACGAUGCAUAGCCGACCUGAGAGGGUGAUCGGCCACACUGGAACUGAGACACGGUCCAGACUCCUACGGGAGGCAGCAGUAGGGAAUCUUCCGCAAUGGGCGAAAGCCUGACGGAGCAACGCCGCGUGAGUGAUGAAGGUCUUCGGAUCGUAAAGCUCUGUUAUUAGGGAAGAACAUAUGUGUAAGUAACUGUGCACAUCUUGGCGGUACCUAAUCAGAAAGCCACGGCUAACUACGUG
Molecule: ribosomal RNA, 497 nt
Filed under: uncultured bacterium
Lineage: Bacteria
Description: partial 16S ribosomal RNA
Rfam family: Bacterial small subunit ribosomal RNA
Source: RNAcentral